AUUUUUUUAAUAUAAUGAGUAUAUCUGACUUCCAAUCAGAAAGUCUAACUUUUAGAAAAAAUA
This 63-nucleotide transfer RNA is filed under the name Hemigrapsus sanguineus. Its description in RNAcentral is "tRNA-Gly". The record is from RNAcentral. Lineage: Eukaryota; Metazoa; Arthropoda; Malacostraca; Decapoda; Varunidae.